GAUGAACGCUAGCGGAGGCUUAACACAUGCAAGUCGAGGGGCAGCAUAAGGUAGCAAUACUCUGAUGGCGACCGGCAAACGGGUGAGUAACGCGUAUGCAACCUACCCUGUACAGGGGGAUAACCCGGAGAAAUUCGGACUAAUAUCCCGUAAUAAUAGUCCGGAGGCAUCUUUGGGAUAUUUAAAGUUCCGACGGUACGGGAUGGGCAUGCGUAACAUUAACUGGUUGGUAAGGUAACGGCUUACCGAAGGCUAUGAUGUUUAGGGGUCCUGAGAGGGUGGUCCCCCACACUGGUACUGAGACACGGACCAGACUCCUACGGGAGGCAGCAGUGAGGAAUAUUGGUCAAUGGGCGCAAGCCUGAACCAGCCAUCCCGCGUGCAGGAAGACGGCCCUAUGGGUUGUAAACUGCUUUUCCAGGGAAGAGAAACUUACGCACGUGUUGCGUGACUGACGGUACCCUGGGAAUAAGCAUCGGCUAACUCCGUG
Molecule: ribosomal RNA, 490 nt
Filed under: uncultured bacterium
Lineage: Bacteria
Description: bacterial SSU rRNA
Rfam family: Bacterial small subunit ribosomal RNA
Source: RNAcentral